RNAcentral lists this transfer RNA (75 nucleotides) under TM7 phylum sp. oral taxon 351. RNAcentral describes it as "tRNA-Gln". It matches the Rfam family "tRNA". Rfam says of the family: Transfer RNA (tRNA) molecules are approximately 80 nucleotides in length. RNAcentral also lists the same sequence under 6 other names. Lineage: Bacteria; Candidatus Saccharimonadota. The record is from RNAcentral.
UGGACCUUCGCCAAGUGGUAAGGCAACGGGUUUUGGUCCCGUCAUUCGCAGGUUCGAAUCCUGCAGGUCCAGCCA